RNAcentral lists this ribosomal RNA (485 nucleotides) under uncultured bacterium. RNAcentral describes it as "partial 16S ribosomal RNA". It matches the Rfam family "Bacterial small subunit ribosomal RNA", at positions 29 to 523 of the family's 1533-position model. The record is from RNAcentral.
AAUGAACGCUGGCGGCGUGCCUAAUACAUGCAAGUCGAACGAGGUGCUUUUGUAGCAAUACGAGAGUAUCCUAGUGGCGAAUGGGUGAGUAACGCGUGGGUGACCUACCCCAAAGUGUGGGAUAACAGUCCGAAAGGAUUGCUAAUACCGCAUGUGGUUAUUGGAUUUAGAAACUGAUAACUAAAGCAGUAAUGCGCUUUGGGAGGGGCCUGCGUCCCAUCAGCUAGUUGGUGAGGUAACGGCUCACCAAGGCGACGACGGGUAGGGGACCUGAGAGGGUGGCCCCCCACAAUGGAACUGAAACACGGUCCAUACACCUACGGGUGGCAGCAGUAGGGAAUAUUGCUCAAUGGGCGAAAGCCUGAAGCAGCAACGCCGCGUGUGCGAUGAAGGCCUUCGGGUCGUAAAGCACUUUUCUAAGAGAUGAGAAAGGACAGUAUCUUAGGAAUAAGUCUCGGCUAACUACGUGCCAGCAGCCGCAGUAA